CGAUAGUUUUAUUUUGUUGGUUUUUAAAACCGUCGUAAUGAUUAAUAGGAACGGUCGGGGGUAUUAGUAUUUAGUUGUCAGAGGUGAAAUUCUUGGAUUUACUAAAGACUAACAACUGCGAAGGCAUUUACCAAGGACGUCUCCAUUAAUCAAGAACGAAAGUUAGGGGAUCGAAGACGAUCAGAUACCGUCGUAGUCUUAACCGUAAACGAUGCCGACUCAGGAUGGGUACUUUUUAAUAAAUGAAGUAUCUGCACUGUACGAGAAAUCAAAGUUUUUGGGUUCUGGGGGGAGUAUUUACGCAAGUAAGGAACUUAAAGGAAUUGACGGAAGGGCACCACCAGGAGUGGAGCCUGCGACUUAAUUUGACUCAACACGGGGAAACUUACCAGGUCCAGACGCGAUUAGGAUUGACAGAUUGAUAGCUCUUUCAUGAUUUCGCGGGUGGUGGUGCAUGGCCGUUCUUAGUUCGUGGAUUCAUCUGGCAACUUGAUUGUGGUAACGAACGAGACCUCUGUUAAUAGUUGGGGAUUAUUACUUUAGUAGUGAUUUCGAUCUAUUAAGACUGCUGGUGCGAGCCAGAGGAAGUUGGAGGCGAUAACAGGUCUGUGAUGCCCUUAGACGUUCUGGGCUGUACGCGCGCUACACUGACAAAGCCAACGAGUUUUGGCCUUGGCCGAGAGGUCUGGGUAAUCUUGUUAAACUUUGUCGUGC
This 714-nucleotide ribosomal RNA is filed under the name uncultured fungus. RNAcentral's name for it is "SSU rRNA". It matches the Rfam family "Eukaryotic small subunit ribosomal RNA", at positions 828 to 1570 of the family's 1831-position model. Lineage: Eukaryota; Fungi. The record is from RNAcentral.